ACCAUGUCUCUGUCGGCCCUUCCCACUUCCCAGGCCAUACUUGUCCCUCCAGCUGCUCGCAGUCGGAAGCGGAGACGCUUCGCAUUCUCGCCAUCUCCUAAUGAGGGAUCCAAAUUCUCCUUUCCCUGCCGAAUGUGGAAGAUACCAUCUUUAUUUGUCGUUUGCUUGUUCCUGGGCAUGCUGGUGCCUUGCAUACUUGAAGAUUAAAGGACUUGACAAGAUCACUGGCCAUAUGGUAGUCAAAUCGAAGUGGGGAAGAACAAAAGAUGGUGACACAAUUAUCGGAUGGGUUUUCCCUGCUUCCAGUGCUGGAGAACCUGAAGCAGAGCCUGACCCUAUAAAUGGAGCAGGAGGUGUGAGGGACUUUAUGACAUAGCAAGUCCAAUCCACUCUGGAAAAUAUUCAGUUCCUGUAUGUGACAUUUCUGUGAAGUGUUGCUCUAUUUCCGUUAGUGCUAUAUGUGUUUUAAGAUUGCAAGUUGCCAAAGCUCUCAACAGAUGUAUUGCGCAUUAUGAUAGCUUCUAUGGGAUAAGAAGCUGAAGACAAUCGUGAACAGUGAGAGCUCAGAGAUCAUUCGCAUGCUUAAUUCUGAGUUCAAUGGUUUAGCUUAGAUUCCCUAUCUUGACCUUUAUCCUCCUCACUUGCGAGCCCAGAUAGACGAAGUUAAUGGAUGGAUAUACAACUGCAUAAACAGUGAUGUUUAUAAGUGUGGAUUUGCUGAGCAGCAGGCGCCUUACAAAGAGGUACUAUCAUCACUACUGUGAAUUGUCACUAAUGUUAUAUGUAAAAAAUAGCAACUCUUAUGCUGUUAAAUUGUUCUCAUUACAGUGGUAGAACAUCCCUCUUCUUUGACGUAGACAACAUAUAGACUAGCAAAUGACAUCAUGGACAUACUUCCCCUCCUCUUCUGAUGACAUCCAUAGGAACUUUGUAUAUGUUCUGUGACAGAGUGAUAAUGUGAAAUGAAUGAGGUGCAAAACAACUUGCUGAAGGUAAUUCUCAGACAGCUACUUGAAAAAUGUUAUAAAUGGUGGUAAACGUUGCAUCAGACAAUUGCUUCAUCCUAUGAUUCCUAUCUGCCCUAAUUGAUGAAUGGAGUCGCAGAUGGUCUGUUCAAUUUUUCUGGGACCCAAAUGAGGCUACCCCUUUUACCCCAUACUUUAUACUCUAGUUAUGGAUAUAUUGAGCAAAAUGCCAUGCUAAUCCGGGUAGGCUACAAAGAUUAAUUGUUGGAAUGGGUUUGUGUAUCUAAUUAUUCCAUGUUACAGUGAUCUUAUCAACUUUUGUUGAUAACAAAGUGAUCCUAAGCACCUGAGACGUCAUCGAUGUGUUGUAUAGAUCAGCUUUUCUUGCUCAGAGGCAUAUUUGGGGCUUAAAGUCAACCUUGCUGAAGAUGAACUUAUCUCUAUGAGGGACCGCAUGGGUGAUCAGAUUCUUAAUGCUUAAUUGAUCGAGCGCCAAGGGUGGUAAACUUUAAACAAUCUCUUGCGAGAGAGGGAUUCUAACACCUCUCAGGCAUUGAAAAGGUCUUGGGUAGUACAACUAAACCAAAAUUCCAAGUAAAAAUCAAGCAUCCUAAUCAUUACAAAAUUUGACCCAAAAAAAAAA
Long non-coding RNA from Eucalyptus grandis, 1608 nucleotides. RefSeq annotates it as glutathionyl-hydroquinone reductase PcpF. Lineage: Eukaryota; Viridiplantae; Streptophyta; Magnoliopsida; Myrtales; Myrtaceae. The transcript is spliced from 3 exons. The record is from RefSeq and is a predicted model, not a curated record.